Molecule: ribosomal RNA, 625 nt
Filed under: Salmonella enterica subsp. enterica serovar Virchow
Lineage: Bacteria; Pseudomonadati; Pseudomonadota; Gammaproteobacteria; Enterobacterales; Enterobacteriaceae
Description: partial 23S ribosomal RNA
Rfam family: Bacterial large subunit ribosomal RNA
Source: RNAcentral
GGUUAAGCGACUAAGCGUACACGGUGGAUGCCCUGGCAGUCAGAGGCGAUGAAGGGCGUGCUAAUCUGCGAUAAGCGCCGGUAAGGUGAUAUGAACCGUUAUAACCGGCGAUACCCGAAUGGGGAAACCCAGUGUGACUCGUCACACUAUCAUUAACUGAAUCCAUAGGUUAAUGAGGCGAACCGGGGGAACUGAAACAUCUAAGUACCCCGAGGAAAAGAAAUCAACCGAGAUUCCCCCAGUAGCGGCGAGCGAACGGGGAGGAGCCCAGAGCCUGAAUCAGCAUGUGUGUUAGUGGAAGCGUCUGGAAAGGCGUGCGAUACAGGGUGACAGCCCCGUACACAAAAGCGCAUGUGCUGUGAGCUCGAUGAGUAGGGCGGGACACGUGGUAUCCUGUCUGAAUAUGGGGGGACCAUCCUCCAAGGCUAAAUACUCCUGACUGACCGAUAGUGAACCAGUACCGUGAGGGAAAGGCGAAAAGAACCCCGGCGAGGGGAGUGAAAAAGAACCUGAAACCGUGUACGUACAAGCAGUGGGAGCACCCUUUGGGGUGUGACUGCGUACCUUUUGUAUAAUGGGUCAGCGACUUAUAUUCUGUAGCAAGGUUAACCGUAUAGGGGAGCCG